RNAcentral lists this long non-coding RNA (8344 nucleotides) under Coffea arabica (coffee). RNAcentral's name for it is "long non-coding RNA (CARA_LNC001770)". Lineage: Eukaryota; Viridiplantae; Streptophyta; Magnoliopsida; Gentianales; Rubiaceae. The record is from RNAcentral.
UGAUCACUUGGACAGCGGAAACAUAAUAUUGAAGAACAAACUUUGCGUACUACGCAGCAUACACAUGACUAAUUAAAAAGGUGUCAAAGGACUCCAAACUAGGAAAUCAAUCGACAUCUUCAUUCUCUCGAUCAAGACUAUCCUUUGAGAGGUUCCCAUUUGACAUCUGCCCCGUCCUGGCAACCGCGGAUGCACCAAGUAUUUAUGCAGGCACAGAAUGCGCAUUUCGCACAUACUGGUAAACAGUCAUCAUUAACCUCACAUCUUGGAAGAGGAGGUUUUCCCUCUGCUCUAAUCACCUGAUUUGAUGGUAGGAUCCCGGAAGCAAGAAUUGCAAGAAUUAAGAAAGAAAUGAGCCGCAUUGGAGAUCCCUUAAUGUAUUCCAAUUUUCGAAGGAUGUAGUAACGAAGAUGAUAAAGCAUGCUAUAUAUAAAAAAAAUUACUAACCUACAACUGUUUAUGUACUCAUGGAAGUUGUUUACUUACCUGUCACUAAAUAUUAUUUAUUAUUAAAUAUGAAAUAUAUGCAAAUAUAAAGUUUAUCUAAAAAAGAUUACUUACCUAUUAUUGUUUAUGUACUCAUGAAAGUUAUUUGCUUACCUAUCUUUAUGCAUUAUUUAUUAUUGAAAUCCUAAAUAUAUGCAAAUAGAAAGUUUAUCUAAAAGUGAUUACUUACCUAUUACUGUUUGUGGUUGGAUAUAUAUGAUGAGUAGGCUUGUCGAUAAAGUUCCCGAAAAGUAUGUGUGAAAGAGAACUAGUUUUUCGGGCAGCCAAUGCAGUGGUCAAUGCACUAGCCAACCUAGCCAGCUCCUCACAACGUGACUCGACAUUCUCGGCACCCCAGCUCCCUACCAACGCUCUCAAUCUGGCGCGUCUAGAUAGGAUCCAGCUCCCCUAUAUUCGAUUAGUUAAACCAUAGCUGGGUAGGAAGCCUGGCUUUACGCCUCCAUCAGUUGUAUUUCGCUUCAGAGAAAUAAAAAGAUCGCCCCUGGGUUAUUGAAAAAAAAAAAAGGCUUGUCGAUAAAGUUAUGCAAAUCGGGUUUUGACAUGCUCAUAAAUUUAUAUAAAAUACCAUUCUUUUGACCCCAAGCUCAAUAUAGCUAGGCUCCCUAGUUUGUAACUCAUACUCAGCUCACAAAAGAAAUUAGGUAAUGGUCUAAUUUGAGUAGGCCCAAAGUUACAUAAUAUAUCUUUCAUGUUAAUGAAAUCUAGUUAAACAAAAUUACCAGCUCACCUAUAAGCAAUCUGUGAUAUCUAAAUGAAGUCGCAACAUUAAAAAAAGUUUCGAUUGUUAUGACGAAAUGUAUUAUAUUUUACCAUAGCAUCCAUAAAUUUAUUGAUUAGAGAUAGAAAGAACACAAUUCCCAUAAAAUUAUUCAUUUAAAAUACAAUCAUUUUAGUACUUUAGUAAUGGGUACUAAAAUAUUACAAUCUAUUUUACAAUAUAUGUAAGGGAGGGGCCAAAUCCAUGCCUCUCCAAAGUAAAUCAGUAAAUCCACACCCCAUGUAUUCAUUGGACAACAAUACUUUCAUCUAUUAAAUUUAUUUGAUUCUUCUUAUAGUUCCAAGUACCAUAUGUUGACAAAACAAAAAAGGGCAAAAAUGUUAAUAUUUUCAAAUAAUUUACAAGUGCUUAAGAAUAUUAAUUUUUAAUUUGUUGCUUAAUUUAGAAAUCCAAUUUUUUCAAUUACAAAUGAGCAUGUAAAUAGUAAGGUCUGCGCAUUUAAAAUCUCUAAAAUUUAAAUCUCAAUAGUUUUCAAGAUGGAACAUGCAAUCAUAUUAACUUUUUCAUGCAAAUAUCUAUAAUUUGAUUAUGUAUAAAUUAGCAUUAAAAAUUCUUCAACAAAAUAAAAGUAGUAGGCUCAUAAAAGGAUAGAAGAAAAAUUAUUUUAAAGCAACUUCAAAAAAAAUAUUGGAAUGAUAUAUAUAAGAAAGAAAUUUCUCUAUAGAGCUAACAUAAAGACUAAAGGACAUAAUUUUUUUUCUUUAGAAAAGAUAUUAUUGUUUCUUUUUAUGGAUAACUUUUUUAUACAUUAUCGGUGUAUAAUUUUUUUUAAAACUAGCAAAGUUUAGAUCAUGGCACAUUACAUUAAUUUAAAUUUGAAAUUCAAAUCAUGCAUAUGUGACAUACAUCCAAAACUACUAAAAAGUAAAAUCACUACAUUGUUAGUGCAUAAAAACUUAAUCCUUUUUUUAUUGUUCUCUUCAUUAUGUAGAAAGAUAAUUUAAAUGCUAUAAAUGGUUUUGGUUUAAUGUAUAAAAUCUAACGGCAUUAAUGUCUAACAAAUGUAUAGGGUGAGUAUUUAGUAUGGAAAGGUGUGGAUUUAGUCCCUUACUAUAUAUGUCAUAAUAUAUAGGGUUAAUCACAUUUUAUCCCCUUAAAAAAUAUCUCAUUUCUUAGUUUACCCCCUAACCUUUAAUUUUGCUCACUUAACCCCCUUUAGGACAAAAUUGCCCUUGCAUUAUUUUGACUUUUCAUUUACCUUGUUUUCCUUUCUUUUAUUUCUUUUUCUCUUUCUUCUUUAUUUAAUUCUUCCUCUUUCCCACAAAAAUUUUCACCUUAAUGAUUGAAAUUAAAAAAAAGGAAUUGCAGAAAUCUAUCUUCUCCUUAAAUGAUUAAAAAAAUAUUUAUAUCACUUUCCUAAAAUACAAUUUUUUAGCCUUUCAAUUAUUUUAAUUUUGGGUUUUCCUCUUUCCUUUAUAGUUUCUCAUUUUAUUCUCAAGAAAAUAUCAUAAGAUGAAAUUGUUUUCCUUUCUUUUAUUUCUUUUUCUCUUUCUUCUCUCUUUCAUCCUUCCUAAUAGAAAAUUCCAUUUCAAUGAAAAUUUUUUAUUUAAGUUUGUAAUUGCAUAUUUCUGGGUGAAGGUUUAAAAGACAUCAAAAACUAAUUUUAAUUUUUUGUAUGAUGCCACGUGUCACGAAUUUCAAUUGAUGAUUAUUAAUCAGGUCACAAUUUCAUUUUAAGAUAUUUUCUUGGGAACAAAAUGAGAAACUAGAAAGGAAAAAGGAAAAUCUAAAAUUAAAAGAAUUGAAAGGCUAAAAAAAUUGUAUUUUAGGAAAGUGAUUUGAAUAUUUUUUUUAAUCAUUUAAGGAGAAGAUAAAUCUCUGUAAUUCCUCUUUUUUAAUUUCAAUCAUUAAGAUGAAGAUUUUUGUGGGAAAGAGGAAGAAUUAAAUAAAGAAGAAAGAGAAAAAGAAAAGAAAACAAGGUAAAUGAAAAGUCAAAAUAAUGCAAGGGCAAUUUUGUCCUAAAGGGGGUUAAGUGAGCAAAAUUAAAGGUUACGGGCUAAACUGAAAAAUGGAAUAUUCUUUAAGGGGAUAAAAUGUGAUUAACCCUAAUAUAUAUAUACAUAUGUAUAUAUGUAAUAUGCGUAUGUGUGUCUGUGUGUGAAGUAUCCCACCCAGACCGAGUGUAUUUGCGUGGAAUUUGGAUUUAAUUUCUUAAACCCAGACCCUUCCCAGAUCCAAACCCUAUAAAAGAGUUAUAGAUUUGGGUAGGGUCUGGUUUUCUAUGAUAUAUAUCCAAAUCCAAAUCCAUACCAGACCCUGCGCAGACCCAUAUAUAUGUAAUUAAAUUAUAUAUAUAUAUUAGUAAGUUUAUAAAAUAUUCUAAUGGUCAUUGGAUGGAAUACAGUGAGAUUUCAUGAUUGUUUUCUAUUUUCAAAUUAAUCUUAGUUGUCAUUGUAAUUAGUACAAACUUUUUCAGAAAAAAGAAAAAAAAGUAAAGGGAGAUAAAUAGAAGAUUGGAUGUAGAUAUAGUUGAAGUUUUUAAACUAAAUAGAAGCAAUCGAUAAUAGUUAUUUUUUUGAAUUCAUAAUAUUGCAUUCAACUUCUUGAAUAUUAAUUUUAUUAUUUAAAAAUAAAAAUUGGAUGAUGUUUAUAUAUUUUUUUGAAAUCUAUAUAUUUUUACUUUAGUGUGUUUUAAAAAUAUAAUGGAUGCCCAUUAGAUAUCCAGAUUCGGGAGGGUGUGGAUUUGAACUCAUUGUUUCAAACCUAUAAUAGUUUGGGCCUAGGUUUGGAUGUAACUAAAUUUAAUAUAUCUGAAUCUGAAUCAAACCCAAAUCCGACGUGUUGACAUGCCUAAUUCUAACCAAUGAUUCCCUGGUUCCCAUGGUCUUUGCUGUUUUUACAAAUUUGCAGUCCUUACUUUUUACUUCUAUCAUUAUUGUUGUUUUGGUUGGCAGGAGAGUGCCACAAAAAGAGGUCAGUUACACGAUUGCUCCAAAUGGUUCAAAUUUAUUCAUUGACGUCUACUAAUAGACAAUUAUUAUCAUUGAUACAUCCCUACGGGGCAUAAUUUAGGAUUAAUUAAAAUUUAACAAAGUAAAUAUGCUUUUUUAACAUUUUUCUCUUUAUCUGCAAAUGCAAAAAGGAGAACACCAGGGAUCGAACGGCUCUCACUUGACACCAGAAGUCACUUUUGACUCACGGUCUUUGUAGGCUUGAGGUCAUCCGUAGAAGUCUUGAUCGUUGGUUGGCAAUGAGAAUGGUCAAUGUUGGCGGCCACAUACAGGGAGUCUGAAUCAUCUGCAAUUAAAUUUGAACACCAAUUAUUUUUCAUAGAACUUGAUAAUUAAAUCUAUAAGUGGAGAAAUAUAAUUCAAAGAAAGUGAAAUCCUUAUUUGUUAACUAUUAUUAUUCAAUUACCAACUUGAUAAGCUGUUCCAUAGUGGUUUGUAAGAACUUGCCAGUUGCCAAUCCAUAGUAACAAGUUAAGUUAUUUACUUACCUAUAUAUAUAUAUAUAUAUGUAUUAUUUACUAUUUAAAUACUAAUUAUAUCCAAAUAGAAAGUUUAUGUAAAAAAGAUUACUUACCGAUUACUGUUUAUGUACUCAUGGGAGUUAUUUACUUACCUGUCACUAUAUAUUAUUUAUUAUUUAAAUAUGAAAUAUAUUCAAUUAGAAAGUUUAUCUAAAAAAGAUUACUUACAUAUUAUUGUUUGUGUACUCAUAAAAGUUAUUUACUUACCUAUCGUUAUAUAUUACUAGGUGGAUUUGCCCUGCUCUUCGUGCAGGGUUGCCCAUGAUUUGGUGAUGCUGUCUUUUUUUUGGCUCAUAUGUUUUAUGGUAAUAGGAAGAAUGUUAAAUGAUGCUAUUAUUUGGCUAGUAAAAAAGUUUAAUAAUAUUAUUAUCAAAUUAUUUAUUAAUGAAAAAAUAUUUAUUAUGCAAUUAUUUGCUAUAGUAUGCUUAUUAAUAGAAAUUACUAAGGAAAAAAGCACAGUGAAGAGAAAUAAAACAGAGGGAAAAUGGAAAAUAAUUGAAAAAUCAAAGAAGAUGAUAUUGAAUAAAAAAGAUAUUAUUAUUGUUAUGCUAUUGAAAUGAAGAAAUAGAUAAAUAAUGGAUAGAAAUAGUAGUGAUGAAAGUGUGCAAAGGACAUUAAAAUUGAUGGGAUUGUUUAAUUAUUUCAGAAAUGGAAAAGGGAAAAUAUCUGAAAUGCAGAGAAAUCUAAAUACAAAGGGAUUUGGAGUGGAAGUGGUAGUAAAUUAUUUCACUAAAUUUAAACAAGAGAAGGAAAAAAUCUGAAAUGUAGAGAAAUGUGGAGUAAAAUAUAUAAAAUAAAUUUUUUAAUCAUGAGCUCUGUAUUCAACUGGAGUUCAAUAUAUUCAAUUAUAAAUGAUUUAAUGUUUUUGUGAGGAAUUGAGAGGUAUUUGGAGCAUAAUUAACACUAAAUUGUUUAACUAAAUUCAAAGGAAAAAAAGGAAAAAUUUGAAUUUUAGAAAAAUUUGGAGUAAAAUCUAUGAGAUGAUUUUUUUAAUCACGCCAUGUUUAUUCAAUUGGAGUUCACCAUAUCCAAUAGAAAAGAUAUCAUUAUUAUUAUACUAUUAAAAUUAAGGGUGCGUUUGAUAAAACUAAAGUCUGAAAUUGAAAUCUAAAAUCUGAAAUCUAAAUCCAUUAAAUUAUUGAAUUGUUAAGUAUUAAAUCAAAUAUAUUUGAGCGUAUAUCAUAUUCAGUGAUAAGUGAAAAGCUUAUCACUUACUUUUGGGCAAUUCAGUGCCAUUUAAUUAAUUUAGAUGUUCAAUUUUUGGUUAUGAAAUGUGUCUAAACAUGUUAAGAUAUGAAUUCGUUAAGUUUAAGUGCUGAAUUGGAUUAUCAAAUAGGGCCUAAGUAAUAAACAAAUAAUAUGUGGAAACAAUAAUAGUAGAUUUGUCUAGAAAGUAUUGAAUAAGUGUCUAAUUAGGAGAUCCUUUUUUAAUAUAAAUAGAAAAUAUAUGGAACAAAAUUUAUAAAUUUGGAACAAAUUCCAUGGAAUCUUUUAUUGCACCAUUCAUUUAAUAACAUUAGUACAAAGUAAUCCAUUCAUCCCACUUUGAUAGUCUUUUUUUAAUCCGCCCUAAAUUAUAGUUCACAUUCCAACUAAAAAAUAUAAUUAAAUUGUAAUUUCUCUAAAAUAUCUUUAUUUAAUGUACUUUAUUAUUAAUGAGUAUAACUUACUUUAUUCAUUAAUUGCUUAGAUUCAUGGUUUGAAUGGUACAAUAUUUUAUAGUAGUGUUAUUGUAAUUAAUGUAAAGAUACAGUGAUUAGUUAUACUUCUAAUAUUAGUUUAAUGGUAUUUUAAGAAAAUAGCAGACCGGAUUUACAUUUUUAACAAAGUUAACCAGCUUUUCUUAUACUAUGUGCAAAAAAAAAAACUAUCAAAAUAGAACGGAGAGAGUAAUUAGGACACAAUUCAUCAAUCAAAAAGCUUUUCAAAGGAGCAAGUAGGAAAAAAUAAAUUCAUUCUUCCAUUGUCUAUGUGUAGUCAUUUCCAGCUGUUAAACGUUCUUUUUCUAUUAUCUAAAAGUCAUUGAAACAAUUGGAGCUCAACACAUUUGACAUAAAAAAAUAUUAGCAUAAUUAUAUUUUAGCAAUGAAGAAAUAAAUAGAUGGUGCAUAAUAAUAGUAAUAGUUAAUGUAUCCAAAGAGCAUUAAAUAGUGUCCAACCAAGGAAGUUUCUAUUUUUUCACUAAUAUAGAGGAAUUUGGAGUAAAAUGUAUCCUGAUUUUUUGUUAGAUUAUUAGAUUAUGUUCAUUAUAGCAAGCAUCUUUCACUAAUAUAGAGAAAUUUGGAACAAAAUUUAUCCUGGAAUUUUUCGUUACGCUAUGUUUAUUAAUACCAAUUAAUAGUUAGGGCAAAAGCCAUUUAAGGAGGGGAAAAACUCAUAGAAAUAGGCAGGAAAUAAUAAAUUUUGCUUUAUAUGUUGUUUGCUUAAUCACCUAUUGCUGUUAUUAUUUUUUGGCUAUUUAAAAGGAACACAAGUAAUUAAAGCUCACAAUUAUUUUUUACCAAAACUUUAUAUGUUGUUUGUUUAAUCAUCUAUUGCUAUUAUUACUUUUUGACUAUUUAAAAUGUAUGCAAGUAAUUAAAGCUCACCAUACUUCGCUUUCUUUUUCAGCAAUAUUGAAAAUAUUCGAACAAAUUUGGUAUUAAAAUAUUAAAUUGAAUUUGGAACAAAAUUAUACUAAUUUUUUUUUUUGAAUUUGUGCAAAAAUUGUUAUAUAAGUGGCCACUCAAGGGACCCUUUAUUAUUAUUAUUAUUUGGUCAGGAGUGUAGACAAAAUUCAGAGCAGAUUAUUUUGGUGAGGAAUGUAGACGAAAUUUGGGGCGGAACUCAUACUAAAAUGUUAAUCUAAAUUUAUAUUUUCCUAAUGGCUAAAAAAGAUAGUAUCAGCCCAAAAUUAGGCGCCAUGACUUUUUUCCAAUUUAUUAGGCUUAGGCCAUGGCAAACCAGGAACAAAUUGUGGCUCAUCAUGCAUUUUUUUUCUUUUUAAUUAGGCUUAGAUCAUGGAAAAAUCGAAAUAAACUGUGGUUUGGGGGCAUUAAAAAGCCACAUGUAGCACACAGGUGAAACACUAAAUGGGAGAGGGGAAAAAACAAAAGAAAGAAGCAGGUAGCAAGAGAAAUCUCCUGCCGAAAUUACUCCUAAGGCCGCACAAAAUCACCAAAGAACCUACGGAACAAGGAGGGAUGACCCUUUACUGUUCCUUAGCCUUUUGCUAUUUUAAUAGGUAGGAUUUAUUAUUUAAAUACUAAAUAUAUGCAAAUAGGAAAUUUAUGUAAACAAGAAUUUUUUAAUAGACAUGGCGGCGAGUACUUGGAUAGCUGAAACAUAAUAUUGAAGAACAAACUUCAUGUACAACACAACAUACACAUGACUAAUUAAAAAAAUAUCAAAGGACUCCAAAACUAAGAAAUCAAUCGACAUCUUCAUUCACUCGAUCAAGACUAUCCUUUGAGAGGUUCCCAUUUGACAUCUGCCCCGACCUGGCAACCAGGGACGCACCAAAGUAUUGUAGCAGAGACAGAAUUUGCAUGUCCCGCAUACUGGUAAACAGUCAUCAUUAACCUCACAUCUUGGAAGAGGAGGUUUUC